UACGGAGGGUGCGAGCGUUGUCCGGAAUCACUGGGCGUAAAGGGCGCGUAGGCGGCUCGGUAAGUAGGGGGUGAAAUCCUGCGGCUUAACCGCAGGGCUGCCUUCUAAACUGUCGAGCUUGAGCACGGUAGAGGCAGAUGGAAUCCCCGGUGUAGCGGUGGAAUGCGUAGAGAUCGGGAAGAACAUCAGUGGCGAAGGCGGUCUGCUGGGCCGUUGCUGACGCUGAGGCGCGACAGCGUGGGGAGCAAACAGG
Molecule: ribosomal RNA, 253 nt
Filed under: uncultured bacterium
Lineage: Bacteria
Description: partial 16S ribosomal RNA
Rfam family: Bacterial small subunit ribosomal RNA
Source: RNAcentral